This 460-nucleotide ribosomal RNA is filed under the name uncultured bacterium. Its description in RNAcentral is "partial 16S ribosomal RNA". It matches the Rfam family "Bacterial small subunit ribosomal RNA", at positions 338 to 795 of the family's 1533-position model. The record is from RNAcentral.
CCUACGGGAGGCAGCAGUGAGGAAUAUUGGUCAAUGGGCGCGAGCCUGAACCAGCCAAGUAGCGUGAAGGAUGACGGCCCUACGGGUUGUAAACUUCUUUUAUAAAGGAAUAAAGUGAGGCACGUGUGCCUUUUUGUCUGUACUUUAUGAAUAAGGAUCGGCUAACUCCGGUCAAGCAGCCGCGGUAAUACGGAGGAUCCGAGCGUUAUACGGUUUUAUUGGGUGUAAAGGGAGCGUAGAUGGGUUGUUAAGUCAGAUGUGAAAGUUUGCGGCUAAACAGUCAAAUUGCAAUUGAUACUGGCAGUCUUGAGUACAGUUGAGGUAGGCGGAAUUCGUGGUGUAGCGGUGAAAUGCUUAGAUAUUACGAAGAACACCGAUUGCGAAGGCAGCUUACUAAACUGCCACUGACAUUGAUGCUCGAAAGUGUGGGUAUCAAACAGGAUUAGAUACCCCAGUAGUC